AACUGCCAUGCGCACACUACCGGAAGUUUACAGUGUAAAACAAGUGCACGUGGGAAAGCAGUAUAUUUUUGUGAAAUGGAGUCAGACGAGGCUAGCAGGAUACCUACUAAGACAGAUGUGAAAUCGAAAGUAAAGAAACACAAGAAGAAGAGGAAGAAGAAUCAGGAGAAUAACAACCAGAAUGAAAAAACAAAGACAUUUGUGCCAGAUUUAGAUUAAUUUAAUAGAUAGCAAAA
Molecule: long non-coding RNA, 236 nt
Organism: Haliotis rubra (blacklip abalone)
Lineage: Eukaryota; Metazoa; Mollusca; Gastropoda; Lepetellida; Haliotidae
Exons: 2
Source: RefSeq, a predicted model, not a curated record